GAGGAUAUGGCUUAGUGGUAGAGCGCAUGCUUAGCAUGCAGGAGGUCCUGGGUUCAAUUCCCAGUACCUCCA
RNAcentral lists this transfer RNA (72 nucleotides) under Vicugna pacos (alpaca). It matches the Rfam family "tRNA". Rfam says of the family: Transfer RNA (tRNA) molecules are approximately 80 nucleotides in length. Their secondary structure includes four short double-helical elements and three loops (D, anti-codon, and T loops). Further hydrogen bonds mediate the characteristic L-shaped molecular structure. tRNAs have two regions of fundamental functional importance: the anti-codon, which is responsible for specific mRNA codon recognition, and the 3' end, to which the tRNAs corresponding amino acid is attached (by aminoacyl-tRNA synthetases). tRNAs cope with the degeneracy of the genetic code in two manners: having more than one tRNA (with a specific anti-codon) for a particular amino acid; and 'wobble' base-pairing, i.e. permitting non-standard base-pairing at the 3rd anti-codon position. Lineage: Eukaryota; Metazoa; Chordata; Mammalia; Artiodactyla; Camelidae. RNAcentral also lists the same sequence under 1 other name. The record is from Rfam by way of RNAcentral.